GGAGGUACAGCUCAGUGGUAGAGCGCGUGCUUAGCAAGCACGAGGUCCUGGGUUCAGUCCCCAGUACUUCCC
Molecule: transfer RNA, 72 nt
Filed under: Camelus dromedarius (Arabian camel)
Lineage: Eukaryota; Metazoa; Chordata; Mammalia; Artiodactyla; Camelidae
Also listed under: 1 other name
Rfam family: tRNA
About the family: Transfer RNA (tRNA) molecules are approximately 80 nucleotides in length. Their secondary structure includes four short double-helical elements and three loops (D, anti-codon, and T loops).
Source: Rfam by way of RNAcentral